This 253-nucleotide ribosomal RNA is filed under the name uncultured bacterium. RNAcentral's name for it is "partial 16S ribosomal RNA". It matches the Rfam family "Bacterial small subunit ribosomal RNA", at positions 524 to 776 of the family's 1533-position model. The record is from RNAcentral.
UACGUAGGUGACAAGCGUUGUCCGGAUUUACUGGGCGUAAAGAGCGCGCAGGCGGUCGAUCAAGUCGAGUGUGAAAGCCCCCGGCUCAACUGGGGAGGGUCAUUCGAUACUGAUCGACUCGAAGGCAGGAGAGGGUAGUGGAAUUCCCGGUGUAGUGGUGAAAUGCGUAGAUAUCUGGAGGAACACCGGUGGCGAAGGCGGCAUCCUGGACCAAUAUUGACGCUGAGGUGCGAAAGCGUGGGGAGCAAACAGG